This 478-nucleotide ribosomal RNA is filed under the name uncultured bacterium. RNAcentral describes it as "partial 16S ribosomal RNA". It matches the Rfam family "Bacterial small subunit ribosomal RNA", at positions 28 to 523 of the family's 1533-position model. The record is from RNAcentral.
GACGAACGCUGGCGGUGUGCUUAACACAUGCAAGUCGAACGGUAAGGCCCUUCGGGGUACACGAGUGGCGAACGGGUGAGUAACACGUGGGUGAUCUGCCCUGCACUUCGGGAUAAGCCUGGGAAACUGGGUCUAAUACCGGAUAGGACCCUGGGAUGCAUGUCCUGGGGUGGAAAGCUUUUGCGGUGUGGGAUGGGCCCGCGGCCUAUCAGCUUGUUGGUGGGGUGAUGGCCUACCAAGGCGACGACGGGUAGCCGGCCUGAGAGGGUGACCGGCCCACCGGGGAAGGAGAUGCGGCCCGACUCCCACGGGGGGGCAGCGGGGGGGAAUAUGGCACAGGGGGCGAAGGCCUGAUGCAGCGCCGCCGCGUGAGGGAGAAGGGCUUGCGGGUUGAAACCCUCUUCAGGCCCCGACGAAGCGCAAGUGAGGGUGGGUGAAGAAGAAGGACCGGCCACCUCCGGGCCAGCCGCCGCCGUAA